Molecule: unclassified non-coding RNA, 21 nt
Filed under: Chlamydomonas reinhardtii
Lineage: Eukaryota; Viridiplantae; Chlorophyta; Chlorophyceae; Chlamydomonadales; Chlamydomonadaceae
Description: small RNA Cre_2180
Source: RNAcentral
UACAGCACAUCGAAGCGCACG